This 129-nucleotide small nuclear RNA is filed under the name Salmo salar (Atlantic salmon). Its description in RNAcentral is "U1 spliceosomal RNA (ENSSSAG00000028304.2, ENSSSAG00020009064.1, ENSSSAG00070007862.1, ENSSSAG00075036483.1)". It matches the Rfam family "U1 spliceosomal RNA". Rfam says of the family: U1 is a small nuclear RNA (snRNA) component of the spliceosome (involved in pre-mRNA splicing). Its 5' end forms complementary base pairs with the 5' splice junction, thus defining the 5' donor site of an intron. There are significant differences in sequence and secondary structure between metazoan and yeast U1 snRNAs, the latter being much longer (568 nucleotides as compared to 164 nucleotides in human). Lineage: Eukaryota; Metazoa; Chordata; Actinopteri; Salmoniformes; Salmonidae. The record is from RNAcentral.
AUACUUACCUGGCAGGGGAGACACCUUGAUCACGAAGGAGGUUGACCCAUGGUGCGGCUCGGCCAUUGCACUCCGGCCAUCGACUGUAUAAUUUGUGGUACUGGGGGACCUCGUCCGCACUCUCCCUUG